This 465-nucleotide ribosomal RNA is filed under the name uncultured bacterium. Its description in RNAcentral is "partial 16S ribosomal RNA". It matches the Rfam family "Bacterial small subunit ribosomal RNA", at positions 28 to 507 of the family's 1533-position model. The record is from RNAcentral.
GACGAACGCUGGCGGCGUGCUUAACACAUGCAAGUCGAACGGUAAGGCUCCAGCUUGCUGGGGUACACGAGUGGCGAACGGGUGAGUAACACGUGGGUGACCUGCCCUGCACUUCGGGAUAAGCCUGGGAAACUGGGUCUAAUACCGGAUAGGACCGCACCGUGAGGGUGUGGUGGAAAGUUUUUUCGGUGUGGGAUGGGCCCGCGGCCUAUCAGCUUGUUGGUGGGGUAAUGGCCUACCAAGGCGGCGACGGGUAGCCGGCCUGAGAGGGUGGACGGCCACAUUGGGACUGAGACACGGCCCAGACUCCUACGGGAGGCAGCAGUGGGGAAUAUUGCACAAUGGGCGGAAGCCUGAUGCGGCGACGCCGCGUGGGGGAUGACGGCCUUCGGGUUGUAAACUCCUUUCACCAUCGACGAAGGGUUUCUGACGGUAGAUGGAGAAGAAGCACCGGCUAACUACGUG